RNAcentral lists this ribosomal RNA (253 nucleotides) under uncultured bacterium. Its description in RNAcentral is "partial 16S ribosomal RNA". It matches the Rfam family "Bacterial small subunit ribosomal RNA", at positions 524 to 776 of the family's 1533-position model. The record is from RNAcentral.
UACGUAGGGGGCAAGCGUUGUCCGGAAUCAUUGGGCGUAAAGAGCGUGUAGGCGGCCCGAUAAGUCCGCUGUGAAAGUCCAGGGCUCAACCCUGGAAUGCCGGUGGAUACUGUCGGGCUCGAAUCCGGAAGAGGUGAGUGGAAUUCCUGGUGUAGCGGUGAAAUGCGCAGAUAUCAGGAGGAACACCGGUGGCGAAGGCGGAUCUCUGGGCCUUACCUGACGCUCAGGUGCGAAAGCUAGGGGAGCGAACAGG